Molecule: long non-coding RNA, 2114 nt
Filed under: Gossypium barbadense (sea-island cotton)
Lineage: Eukaryota; Viridiplantae; Streptophyta; Magnoliopsida; Malvales; Malvaceae
Description: long non-coding RNA (GBAR_LNC005224)
Source: RNAcentral
AUUCUGAAGCUAGAGAUGUUAGAAAGAGAUCUUCGAGUAGAUCAUUUCAGUCUGUGUCAAAGAAAUUCCGAGAUGAUCAAAGUCAUUCAAAUGCUGAUGAAAGACAUUUGAACUGAGAUCGAGCUAAAUCGCAUUCGAAUUCCAGAGCUCCUGCUACUUCUGUUGCAAGUGUCAGGAAUGACCGAUCUGGGAAACCUGAAUGUAAACACUGUGGUAAAAGACAUCCAAGAAAUUGUAGAUUGAAUGACCGAGCCUGUUUCCGAUAUAGAUCUUUGGACCAUUUUGUAAGAGAUUGUUCUGAACCUGCUGAAUAAGAGAAUGUACAGAAUUUGAGACUGAGCAACACCUCAGUUAGAGGUAGACCUUCUAAAAAUACGAGAAAUGUAAGUGGUGGUCAAAGAGUUGCUAGGGACACUGUUGUUAGAUCUGAGGCCAGAGCACCUGCCAAAGCCUAUGCUAUCCGAGCUCGUGAGAAAGCCUCGUGAGCAAAGUAUUUUCCAGAAGGGGAGUUCAUGUGUGCAGUUUUAGGUUCGAACCCUUCGUAUACAUGGAAAAGUAUUUGGGGAGCUAGACAAUUUCUUCAGGAGGGGAUCAGAUGGCGAAUUGGGAACAGUAACGCAGUAAACAUAUAGAAAAAUUCAUGGCUGUCAGGACCUGGAAAUGAAAGGAUACAAGGUCAGAAUAUCGAUAUUGGAUAUACUAAAGUGACAAAUUUAAUCGGCAAGGAAACCACAACCUGGAAGCAAGAUACUAUUCGAGCAUUACUCGAAGAGGAGCAACUUGAAAGCAUUCUCUUAAUCCCAUUGGCGUGUAGUGAACCAGAGGAUGUUUUAAUAUGGAGAGGUGACAAUACAAGGGUUUAUACAACUAAAAGUGGUUACAAAUGGCUAAUUACAGUAGAGGUAUCUAGAUUACAGAAUGAAAUUCCAGCUACUUUCUUUAUAAAGUUAUGGGGUCUUAAGAUGCGAAGCAAAAUCCAAAUACAUAUAUGGAGAAUAGCUAACGAUUACAUACCCACUUUACAUAAUCUCUAGAGUUUGUAAACUGGUUGAAAGUACACUUUGCUCGGUUUGUCAAGCAGAUGAGGAAACGAUGAGUCACCUAUUCAGAGAUUGCACCUUCGCACAGUAGGUAUUGAGGGGAUUGGAGCGACAAAUCCAACAUGCAACAGAGAAUCCAAUUGGAAAAAGUGAUUAGUGAUAAAGUUUAACAAUAUGAACAUUGAAGAAUGUAAAAUUAGAACUAUUGUCUAUUAGGCUAUUUGGUAUAAUCGUAACAAGAUAUAUCAUGAAGGAGUGCGUGAACAAGUAAAUGAAGUAACUUUUAUGGAGGAUAUAUCAAAGAACGCACAUGAAGCUAACAGUUCUGAAUGGAAACCACCGGAGAAUGAUACUAUAAAAAUUAAUUUUGACGUUUCAUUCAAUCAACAUAUGAGAAGUUCUUGUUCAAGAAUCAUAGCGCGAAAUAAAAAAAGAUUGGUGAUGGCGGCAUGUACCUUUCCAUGGGAGAAUAUCUCAGAUCCGGUUAUGACCGAGGAAAGGGCAUGUUUGCUGGGCAUUACUAUGGCAGAGGAAAUGGGUUUCUAGGAUAUUUGUGUUGAAGGAGUUGCGCUAACUAUAAUACGCAAAUUAAACCCUACAGAAGAAGAUAAAUCUGGCAUUAGCAGUCUGAUUAAAGAAACCAAGGGGAGAAUCCCCUAUUUGAAAAGACUGAGUUUUAGAUACACACCAAGGGAAGCCAACAAAGUGGCUCACAAAAUGGCGAUUGAAGGAUGUCAGCAUGAAAAUCCACAAUACUGGAUAGAGGAGGUACCGUACGCGGUGGAAGGACUAGUGAAUAGUGAUAGGAGAAGCGACGGAGAUGAAGGAUAGAUGGAAAAAGUGUCCAGACAUUGCGACAUUGUGUUUGUCUGAUGAAUUCAUGACCUUGACCGAGAAUAAGGCUUCAAAGAUUUUAUUCUGGAUGUUAAUCGGUCUCUUUGAGUAACUGAUACACAAUAGAUUUGGGGUUUCAAAAACAAAGAAGAAGAGUUUCCAAGCCAGAAUUUCUUUGAGUUUGACGUUUCAUUUCUUUUCUUUUGUUUAAUGAACAGUUUAUUUUAUUUCCCUUUUCUU